GGAGAGGUGCCCGAGAGGCCGAAGGGGCACGAUUGGAAAUCGUGUGUAGCGGAAGUUACCGGGGGUUCGAAUCCCUCCCUCUCCG
Molecule: transfer RNA, 85 nt
Filed under: Spirochaetes bacterium RBG_16_49_21
Lineage: Bacteria; Pseudomonadati; Spirochaetota
Description: tRNA-Ser
Rfam family: tRNA
About the family: Transfer RNA (tRNA) molecules are approximately 80 nucleotides in length. Their secondary structure includes four short double-helical elements and three loops (D, anti-codon, and T loops).
Source: RNAcentral